AGAGUUUGAUCCUGGCUCAGAUUGAACGCUGGCGGCAGGCCUAACACAUGCAAGUCGAACGGUAACAUUUCUAGCUUGCUAGAAGAUGACGAGUGGCGGACGGGUGAGUAAUGCUUGGGAACUUGCCUUUGUGAGGGGGAUAACAGUUGGAAACGACUGCUAAUACCGCAUAAUGUCUACGGACCAAACGGGGCUUCGGCUCCGGCGCAAAGAGAGGCCCAAGUGAGAUUAGCUAGUUGGUAAGGUAGCGGCUUACCAAGGCGACGAUCUCUAGCUGUUCUGAGAGGAAGAUCAGCCACACUGGGACUGAGACACGGCCCAGACUCCUACGGGAGGCAGCAGUGGGGAAUAUUGCACAAUGGGGGAAACCCUGAUGCAGCCAUGCCGCGUGUGUGAAGAAGGCCUUCGGGUUGUAAAGCACUUUCAGUUGUGAGGAAAAGUUAGUAGUUAAUACCUGCUAGCCGUGACGUUAACAACAGAAGAAGCACCGGCUAACUCCGUGCCAGCAGCCGCGGUAAUACGGAGGGUGCGAGCGUUAAUCGGAAUUACUGGGCGUAAAGCGCACGCAGGCGGUUUGUUAAGCUAGAUGUGGAAGCCCCGGGCUCAACCUGGGAUGGUCAUUUAGAACUGGCAGACUAGAGUCUUGGAGAGGGGAGUGGAAUUCCAGGUGUAGCGGUGAAAUGCGUAGAUAUCUGGAGGAACAUCAGUGGCGAAGGCGACUCCCUGGCCAAAGACUGACGCUCAUGUGCGAAAGUGUGGGUAGCGAACAGGAUUAGAUACCCUGUAGUCCACACCGUAAACGCUGUCUACUAGCUGUGUGUGCCUUUAAGGCGUGCGUAGCGAAGCUAACGCGCUAAGUAGACCGCCUGGGGGAGUACGGCCGCAAGGUUAAAACUCAAAUGAAUUGACGGGGGCCCGCACAAGCGGUGGAGCAUGGUGGUUUAAUUCGAUGCAACGCGAAGAACCUUACCUACCACUUGACAUGCAGAGACUUUCUAGAAGAAAAGAUUGGUGCUUCGGGACUCUGACACAGUGCUGCAUGGCUGUCGUCAGCUCGGGUCGUGAAAUGUUUGGGGUAAGUUCCGCACGAGGCCAUCAUGUUCUUAGUUGCAGGCUUAGUGGCACCCUAAGGAACUGCGUACAUCGAGAGGGUUGGACGACGUCAGUCUACUCAUGGCCCCUGA
RNAcentral lists this ribosomal RNA (1184 nucleotides) under uncultured bacterium. RNAcentral's name for it is "bacterial SSU rRNA". It matches the Rfam family "Bacterial small subunit ribosomal RNA", at positions 8 to 1205 of the family's 1533-position model. The record is from RNAcentral.